Molecule: ribosomal RNA, 253 nt
Filed under: uncultured bacterium
Lineage: Bacteria
Description: partial 16S ribosomal RNA
Rfam family: Bacterial small subunit ribosomal RNA
Source: RNAcentral
UACGGAGGAUCCAAGCGUUGUCCGGAUUUAUUGGGUUUAAAGGGUGCGUAGGUGGAUAAUUAAGUCAGGGGUGAAAGCCUGCAGCUCAACUGUAGAACUGCCCUUGAAACUGAUUAUCUUGAAUUUGGUUGAGGUAGGCGGAAUGUGUCAUGUAGCGGUGAAAUGCUUAGAUAUGAUACAGAACACCAAUUGCGAAGGCAGCUAACUAUGCGAUGAUUGACGCUGAGGCACGAAAGCGUGGGGAGCAAACAGG